ACCCUUUAAUGUUUGAUGUUCUAACGUGGACCCGUAAUCCGGGUUGCGGACAGUGUCUGGUGGGUAGUUUGACUGGGGCGGUCUCCUCCUAAAGAGUAACGGAGGAGCACGAAGGUUGGCUAAUCCUGGUCGGACAUCAGGAGGUUAGUGCAAUGGCAUAAGCCAGCUUGACUGCGAGCGUGACGGCGCGAGCAGGUGCGAAAGCAGGUCAUAGUGAUCCGGUGGUUCUGAAUGGAAGGGCCAUCGCUCAACGGAUAAAAGGUACUCCGGGGAUAACAGGCUGAUACCGCCCAAGAGUUCAUAUCGACGGCGGUGUUUGGCACCUCGAUGUCGGCUCAUCACAUCCUGGGGCUGAAGUAGGUCCCAAGGGUAUGGCUGUUCGCCAUUUAAAGUGGUACGCGAGCUGGGUUUAGAACGUCGUGAGACAGUUCGGUCCCUAUCUGCCGUGGGCGCUGGAGAACUGAGGGGGGCUGCUCCUAGUACGAGAGGACCGGAGUGGACGCAUCACUGGUGUUCGGGUUGUCAUGCCAAUGGCACUGCCCGGUAGCUAAAUGCGGAAGAGAUAAGUGCUGAAAGCAUCUAAGCACGAAACUUGCCCCGAGAUGAGUUCUCCCUGAGACUUAGAGUCUCCUGAA
RNAcentral lists this ribosomal RNA (635 nucleotides) under Salmonella enterica subsp. enterica serovar Newport. Its description in RNAcentral is "partial 23S ribosomal RNA". It matches the Rfam family "Bacterial large subunit ribosomal RNA", at positions 2202 to 2832 of the family's 2925-position model. The record is from RNAcentral. Lineage: Bacteria; Pseudomonadati; Pseudomonadota; Gammaproteobacteria; Enterobacterales; Enterobacteriaceae.